Molecule: unclassified non-coding RNA, 21 nt
Filed under: Mus musculus (house mouse)
Lineage: Eukaryota; Metazoa; Chordata; Mammalia; Rodentia; Muridae
Description: oocyte_clustered_small_RNA9344
Source: RNAcentral
AGGCGGUUCAGAUCCCGGAAG